This 740-nucleotide ribosomal RNA is filed under the name Bacillus licheniformis. RNAcentral's name for it is "bacterial SSU rRNA". It matches the Rfam family "Bacterial small subunit ribosomal RNA", at positions 38 to 758 of the family's 1533-position model. Lineage: Bacteria; Bacillati; Bacillota; Bacilli; Caryophanales; Bacillaceae. The record is from RNAcentral.
AGCAAUGCGCGUGCUAUACAUGCAAGUCGAGCGGACAGAUGGGAGCUUGCUCCCUGAUGUUAGCGGCGGACGGGUGAGUAACACGUGGGUAACCUGCCUGUAAGACUGGGAUAACUCCGGGAAACCGGGGCUAAUACCGGAUGGUUGUUUGAACCGCAUGGUUCAAACAUAAAAGGUGGCUUCGGCUACCACUUACAGAUGGACCCGCGGCGCAUUAGCUAGUUGGUGAGGUAACGGCUCACCAAGGCAACGAUGCGUAGCCGACCUGAGAGGGUGAUCGGCCACACUGGGACUGAGACACGGCCCAGACUCCUACGGGAGGCAGCAGUAGGGAAUCUUCCGCAAUGGACGAAAGUCUGACGGAGCAACGCCGCGUGAGUGAUGAAGGUUUUCGGAUCGUAAAGCUCUGUUGUUAGGGAAGAACAAGUACCGUUCGAAUAGGGCGGUACCUUGACGGUACCUAACCAGAAAGCCACGGCUAACUACGUGCCAGCAGCCGCGGUAAUACGUAGGUGGCAAGCGUUGUCCGGAAUUAUUGGGCGUAAAGGGCUCGCAGGCGGUUUCUUAAGUCUGAUGUGAAAGCCCCCGGCUCAACCGGGGAGGGUCAUUGGAAACUGGGGAACUUGAGUGCAGAAGAGGAGAGUGGAAUUCCACGUGUAGCGGUGAAAUGCGUAGAGAUGUGGAGGAACACCAAUGGCGAAGGCGACUCUCUGGUCUGUAACUGACGCUGAGGAGCGAAA